GGGUCGUUAGCUCAGUUGGUAGAGCAGUUGACUUUUAAUCAAUUGGUCGCAGGUUCGAAUCCCGCACGACCCACC
RNAcentral lists this transfer RNA (75 nucleotides) under Yersinia enterocolitica. Its description in RNAcentral is "tRNA-Lys(ttt)". It matches the Rfam family "tRNA". From Rfam's summary of the family: Transfer RNA (tRNA) molecules are approximately 80 nucleotides in length. Their secondary structure includes four short double-helical elements and three loops (D, anti-codon, and T loops). Lineage: Bacteria; Pseudomonadati; Pseudomonadota; Gammaproteobacteria; Enterobacterales; Yersiniaceae. The record is from RNAcentral.